CUGCAGGCACAAAUGAGCUUGGUUUUCAAGCACUGCUCUUUGAACACAAGGAAUUCCUUUAAUGAUCACGCCGGACUAUAUAGACUUUGGAAUCAGACUCUUUGAAUUCCAGCUCUGCCAUUUACCAACUUUGACACUUUGGGUUUCCUGUUUGAAGGAGGAUUGGUGACUUCCCUUCCUUCAGACAAGCAAUGAUAACACAGUUGUGUUCCCUUGUGUGAGUCUGGGGUGACGUUGGCUCCUUGAGAAAUGAAAACUUUAUCAUAAGAAUCUGUGAAAAUGGGGAAAAUGGGAAAAGGAGGACAGAUUCAAAAUUGGAGGAAAACAGGAAAAUCUCUCUUCAUCUUUUCUAAUUGUUCUUUUAAUGAAAUCAGUACUGCCCUUUGGCAUUAAUGAUCGUAUGCGAAAGACAACGUCUCAUUCUGUCACCCAGGCUGGAGUGCAGUGGCACAAUUAUAGCUCACUGCAGCCUCAAACACCUGGGCUCAAGCAAUCCUUCCACCUCUGCCUCCUGAGUAAUUGGGACUACAGGGAUGGGGAAUGACUAUCUCCAAUUAAACUUCUCAGUAAAAU
This is a long non-coding RNA of Homo sapiens (human), 573 nucleotides long. NCBI's taxonomy places the organism in Eukaryota, Metazoa, Chordata, Mammalia, Primates, Hominidae. The record is from Ensembl.